RNAcentral lists this ribosomal RNA (525 nucleotides) under Pelobatrachus nasuta (Malayan horned frog). RNAcentral describes it as "Megophrys nasuta (Malayan horned frog) partial 16S ribosomal RNA". It matches the Rfam family "Bacterial large subunit ribosomal RNA", at positions 1857 to 2597 of the family's 2925-position model. Lineage: Eukaryota; Metazoa; Chordata; Amphibia; Anura; Megophryidae. The record is from RNAcentral.
GCCUGCCCAGUGACCAUGUGUUCAACGGCCGCAGUAUUUUAACCGCGCGAAGGUAGCGUAAUCACUUGUUUUCUAAAUAAAGACUAGUAUGAACGGCCACACGAGGACUUAACUGUCUCCUUUAUCUAAUCAGUGAAACUGAUCCCCCCGUGCAGAAGCGGGGAUAACACCAUAAGACGAGAAGACCCUAUGGAGCUUUAAACCGAACUAACUACCCUUCUUUAACCUCUAAUAGAGCUAACACAUUUAGGUAAUAUUAAUUUUGGUUUUAGGUUGGGGCGACCAUGAAGAAAAACUUAACCUUCCUGAUGACUUAUAAACUAAGAGUUACAACUCUAAGUAUUAAGACUCUUAACCUUCAUUGACCCACUUUGUGACCAACGAACCAAGUUACCCUAGGGAUAACAGCGCAAUCCAUUUCAAGAGUCCUUAUCGACAAAUGGGUUUACGACCUCGAUGUUGGAUCAGGGCACCCAAGUGGUGCAACCGCUACUAAAGGUUCGUUUGUUCAACGAUUAAAGCCCU